AUGCUUCAAGCUUCCCCUCAGUCCCCAAUAAUGAUGAGCGGCGUCUCGUUUGUUGUCUCGCGGGAUGUCUGUCGCCGCCGCCUAAGUCAUUCCCAUGAAAUGGAGGUGCAGCCAGAAGCCGUCAGGGACUGGUCCGAGCUGCCUCUUGAUGUGCUUGCUUCAGUCUUUACCAAACUCGGCGCAGUUGAUAUUCUCAUGGGUGCAGGCCUUGUGUGCCACUCAUGGCUCGAGGCGGCAAAAGUACCUAGUUUAUGGCGAUAUGUCGACAUGGAGCACCAUGAUGUCUUGCGAGGGAAGAAGAAAAAGAGCCACGAUGUCUUGUGUGCAAUGGCAAAAGCCGCCGUGGACCGCUCCAAUGGGGAGCUCGAGGUGUUCGCAGGGAGCGGGUUUGUUACUGAUCAGCUUCUCAACUAUAUCGCAGAAAGAUCACCCUCCCUUAAGAGCCUCAGCCUUGACUACUGCAAUGUCUCCAACGAAGCAUUCACUGAGCUGAUAAUCAAGCUUCCUCUGCUCGAAGAACUUCUCAUUUCCCUAUGUCCAUUUGUUGAUGGCGACGCAUAUGAGGUCACCAGCAGAGCAUGUGCGCAGCUGAAGCGUCUCAUGUUGCGGCAAGGGUCGUAUGGGGGUACAAGAGAUGGGGCACUUGGAAUCGAGAUGAUGCACGAGCUGCGAUACCUUACUCUCGUCGGUUGCAAUAUCACGACAGAGGAGCUGGUUGCCAUCAUCGAUGGCUGCCCUCACAUGGAGCGCCUCUGCGUGCGCGACUGUUGCAACAUCAUUGUGGAUGGAACCCUGCGAGCGAAGUGUUCAAGGAUCAAGACGCUGAUUCUCCCCCCUUUGCAGCAUUUGCAGCAGUUGUACUCCCGUUACUGUUUUCACCCUGAUGAUAGCCUUUUCACGGACAAGUUUGACGAUUGGAGAUCUUCCUAA
RNAcentral lists this ribosomal RNA (930 nucleotides) under Triticum aestivum (bread wheat). RNAcentral describes it as "partial small subunit ribosomal RNA". Lineage: Eukaryota; Viridiplantae; Streptophyta; Magnoliopsida; Poales; Poaceae. The record is from RNAcentral.